Molecule: ribosomal RNA, 717 nt
Filed under: uncultured bacterium
Lineage: Bacteria
Description: bacterial SSU rRNA
Rfam family: Bacterial small subunit ribosomal RNA
Source: RNAcentral
UNUGGUCUGUAACAGACGCUGAGGCUNGAAAGCGUGGGGAGCGAACAGGAUUAGAUACCCUGGUAGUNCACGCCGUAAACGAUGAGUGCUAGGUGUUAGGCCCUUUCCGGGGCUUAGUGCCGCAGCUAACGCAUUAAGCACUCCGCCUGGGGAGUACGACCGCAAGGUUGAAACUCAAAGGAAUUGACGGGGGCCCGCACAAGCGGUGGAGCAUGUGGUUUAAUUCGAAGCAACGCGAAGAACCUUACCAGGUCUUGACAUCCCGAUGCCCGCUCUAGAGAUAGAGUUUUACUUCGGUACAUCGGUGACAGGUGGUGCAUGGUUGUCGUCAGCUCGCGUCGUGAGAUGUUGGGUUAAGUCCCGCAACGAGCGCAACCCUUAUUGUUAGUUGCCAUCAUUCAGUUGGGCACUCUAGCGAGACUGCCGGUAAUAAACCGGUGGAAGGUGGGGAUGACGUCAAAUCAUCAUGCCCCUUAUGACCUGGGCUACACACGUGCUACAAUGGCUGGUACAACGAGUCGCAAGUCGGUGACGGCAAGCUAAUCUCUUGAAGCCAGUCUCAGUUCGGAUUGUAGGCUGCAACUCGCCUACAUGAAGUCGGAAUCGCUAGUAAUCGCGGAUCAGCACGCCGCGGUGAAUACGUUCCCGGGCCUUGUACACACCGCCCGUCACACCACGAGAGUUUGUAACACCCGAAGUCGGUGAGGUAACCUUUUA